AGUUAUGCCCCCCUUCGAAGAAGAGGGGGUAUAUUGCUUUGCUCAUGUCGGUCGGUCGGUCCGUCCACCAGGUGGUUGUCAGACGAUAACUCAAGAACGCUUAGGCCUAGGAUCAUGAAACUUCAUAGGUACAUUGAUCAUGACUUACAGAUGACCCCUAUUGAUUUUCAGGUCACUAGGUCAAAGGUCAAGGUCACUGUGACCCGAAAUAGUAAAAUGGUUUCCAGAUAAUAAUUCAAGAACGCUUAUGCCUAGGAUCAUGAAACUUCAAAGGUAGAUUGAUCAUGACUAGCAGAUGACCCCUAUUGAUUUUCAGGUCACUAGGUCAAAGGUCAAGGUCACAGUGACCUGAAAUAGUAAAAUGGUUUCCGGAUGAUAACUCAAGAACGCUUAUGCCUAGGAUCAUGAAACUUGAUAGGUACAUUGAUCAUGACUGGCAGAUGACCCGUAUUGAUUUUCAGGUCACUAGGUCAAAGGUCAAGGUCACAGUGAC
Long non-coding RNA from Dreissena polymorpha, 493 nucleotides. RefSeq lists it as uncharacterized. NCBI's taxonomy places the organism in Eukaryota, Metazoa, Mollusca, Bivalvia, Myida, Dreissenidae. The record is from RefSeq and is a predicted model, not a curated record. The transcript is spliced from 2 exons.